Molecule: long non-coding RNA, 2384 nt
Filed under: Chinchilla lanigera (long-tailed chinchilla)
Lineage: Eukaryota; Metazoa; Chordata; Mammalia; Rodentia; Chinchillidae
Description: lncRNA (ENSCLAG00000029262.1)
Source: RNAcentral
AGACAGCCCCACUUCUAUGCCUGCACGCUGGAGACCCAGGAGAGGGGAUGGUCCGACUUCAAAGGCUUGAGGACAGAAGACAGUCCUCACACUGGCAGUUUGCAGACCCAGGGAAAACCUGACUUUUCAGGAAGAAUCUAGAGGGUGGGAAAAGAUCAGUGUUCCAGCAUGUACUCCAGACAGGAGGGCUUCUCUCUUACGGUUUUUUUAUUCAAUUCAAUUCAACUACUUGGAUGAAGCCAACACAUAGGAGAGAGGGCAAUCUCUUUUCUCCACAUCCUAGGUUCAGACAUGCAUCUCGUCCCAAACACUGCACAGACACCUGCAGAACAACGGCAGAACAAUGGCCAACCUGGGGCACCCCACGGCCCAGCCCCGUUGACACUUAGAGUCAACUAUCAAACACUGUCCCUGCAAAGCAUCAGACAUGGGAAACACGAUGGCAAGUGUGCGCUUUGUUCUCAGGAAGAUGCUAGUCUAGAAGACAGGGGCAGGCUUGUGAAAAUGAGCUCUCCAUGCACGGUGAUAGAACAGCAGUGCCAGCUAUGGGGAAGGGCUUUACUUUCAGCCUUGGAAGCAUUCCCCUGGUGCCUCCAGGCAGAAUAUGACAUAUACCAACAGACUGAAACCAGCACCUGUGAGAAGCAAAUCCAUGACCGCUAAAACAUUCAGCCUUGGGUGGGACAGAACAAACUCUCCUCUCCUUGAAGUUGUGCCAGCAAAAGGGCACAGUUUCCCUGGCUCUGCAGCCUGGUCAGAAAGCAACUCACAGGGCACUUGGAAUUUGCAGCGCUGCUCAGACUCCAGUGGCACCAUCUGGACUGGAUUAUAGCAGUGGGGCUGCUUCCGACCAGUGCGCCCCUUGUGUUCUGCAUGACACUUAGCUGAAUUACUGGUCCUACCGUCUGAAUGUUGCAGUCUCUUCUUGAUUUGUUUGUUCACUCUCUGGGCCACUAAUCACAUCAGUGAGCAGAGGCUGUGUAAGGAAAGUCAGUGGAUUUUAUCUUCCCUCCCUUCUGCAGGCACCACUGUGUGUGAUGCAAGUUGCACUGAGCGUGUGGCACUGGGUGUGUGACUCCAGUGAGCACACCUCACUGUCUGGGUGGUAUUCGGGCACACAGCGGCAGGUACACAUGGAAGAAACGGCCAGUGGGAAGGUGUGCGGCCACUCAGCAGUACACCAGCAUCGCAGCACAGGACCUGGAGUCCACAUCUCACACCCUCUACCUUCUCAGGGGAGGCUGCAUCAUGUCAGAGCACACAAUUUUAAGGUUUACCAGUUGGCAGGGCAGCCCGUAAGCUAUGCAGUGAUGUCUUACUUUUAAUCCCCAGCAGUCCCUUCACCUACUAGAUCAACAUGUACCCUCCUUUGCAUAAUAUUUAGAAAAUUAAAGUGAGCCAAGACCUAUGCCUUGAACUUGACAGGUGUACGCUUUAGAAAGAUGUGACUACGUGUAACUGUUUUGCCUAUAUCAUUCCUAUCAGUGGAAAACAGUUUUGGAUUAAACAGGACAAAGAUGAUAUUGCAAAAAGGAAACUGAAGUGUAAUAUGGGUAAGAAAUGCACAGACACCCUUGGUCCCGCAGGGUUUCGAGCUCUCAUACCCAUUACAUCGCAGACAUUGUAUCCCAGAAUCUGUGGGAGAGAGACCAUGCCAUCGGUCUGCUAGUAAAUGUUUGAAUGAGUGAGUGAAUACACUGGAUGAGAGAUACAGCCAGGUGAAUUAUAAGAGCAGUUACUAAGUCUUUCUAAGCAUUUGUGGAUGUCCCUGAAGAAGUUUUCACUGGCCUGGGGAGAAAUAAGAAAAUGCAGCUGGAUGUGGUGGGGCACACCUAUAAUGCCAGCACUUGGGAGGCUGAGGCAGGAGAAUUGUUUUGAGUUCGAGGCCAGCCUGAGCUACAUAGUAAGCUGAAUGCCAGCUUGAAGUGCAUGGUGAGACCCUAUUUCCAAAAGACAGGAAAAAAAAAAAAAAAAGCAGAUCUAGGGCAUGGAAUGUAUAAAUUUAUUUUGUUGAGUAUGUACAUGUACAUAGACGGUUGUUGUCUUUUAAAAAUGCUGACCUUCAUUUUGAGAUUUUUAUUUAUUUACUUACUUUGCUGGAGAGUGAAGCCUGGACUUUGCACAUUCUAGACAAUACGCUACCAAAGAGCUGCUCCUCCAGCCCUUCUCUGAGCUGUUUGAACAUUAACAUUAAGAUAUGGUUAAAAGUAGCUAAUAAGCCUUUUCUGUUUUCUUCAAUACCCUCUUUGUCAAAAUAAAAAACUACUAAUCCUAGUCUGUCCCCCCAGUUUGAUUUAAAAUUUCUUGUUGAUCCAGGAAAUCCCAGUAUCCGGGAAUAACUGCGUGGAGAGUUGGCCUGAGUGCUCGGAGCUCGCUCUUCUCCC